Salvia miltiorrhiza (redroot sage) is the source of this 324-nucleotide long non-coding RNA. RefSeq lists it as uncharacterized. The record is from RefSeq and is a predicted model, not a curated record. The transcript is spliced from 2 exons. Lineage: Eukaryota; Viridiplantae; Streptophyta; Magnoliopsida; Lamiales; Lamiaceae.
UUUAAGAAGAUUUGCAGAAAUAGGCAUUUUGGCUGCUCAGCUAGCUACCUAUACCGCGAUUUGAAGGAUAUAUGGUGAAGGCAAUGAAGACAAUAUUGAGCAUAUUGGUUGAUGUACCACAUUUUGAAGGAACGAAUGAGUAACAAGUGUUAACUCAUUUGAAUCAUUGUUGUGAUAGAAUUUAUUUUGUAACGGAUAUGGUAGAAUUGAUUGGGUUGAACUUAAGUUGUAAUGAAUAUUGAAAUUUUAAGAAAUGAUUGUGUUGCAAUGAAUAUGAUUUGUUAAGUUUUUAUUUAAAUAUUAAAUUUUUGAAAAAGAAAAAAA